GGAGCAAGCUUCGGGUUAGGAGAACUUGAUCCCGUAGGUACAAGCUUGGAGUAGACACCGACAGGCCGGGCUUCCUCCAAUCUACACCUCCACUCUAUCUCUCUCAAUCUAGUAGAAACUAGAAGAUCUAUUUCUACCUUACAUUGGUUCCUAAGCCUAAAAAAGAAAUAUUAAUUAGAGAAGAGGUUUUCCUUCGAGGGCACCCCUCAGUCUCUAUGAUAAUUUCUUCAUGUCUUCUCCAGGGGCCAGGGGGGUCUCCUUAUAUAGUCCUUCCCUUCUAUGCGUUUUUGGGUCGGUAGGCGAGGUGGUACUAUGUUUUCCUUGAUCCAAUAGGUCGGUGGAAUAUCCCGUGCGAAGAGAGUCCCGAACUGCAUCCAGCAGGGGGCGGGCGCCCAGGUCACUAGGGUGGGCACCCUGGGCCUGGCCCCUUUUGGCCUCCGUCUUCUUCCCGUGGCUUCUGGAGUCUUGUAGAUGGUAAAAAAUCGUGCGGUGCAUUGAUAUCUCUAUGUAAUCCUGACAUGUGGGCCUUUCUUCCUUAUUUCCUGAUAACCCCCUGCAGAAACAGAUAAACAACAAAACUCAUGGAAUUCUGUCAGAUCAAACCCUAAUUCUAGGUGUUGGUUGCAUAUUGGUCCUUUCUCUUGUUUAUUUGAUAAUUAAAAUUAAUACUUAAGAACCGUCAACAAAUACCCCCAUACUUAGGCUUUUACUCGUCCUCGAGAAAAGGAUGGUUAAGAACAAUAUCUGAGGUAAACAUUUAAAACAUUCUCUUUAUAAUUGCAGGGUGUUAAAAAUUCCACUGUGUACCAUAGUCAGGGAUGUUUAUGGUUAAGAGUAAAGAUCCUUUCUUCUCAAUCCUGUCACUUGGAGUUUUUGGUAUAUUUUUGAAAGAAAGUUAGCAUACCUUUUUAUCCUCAUAGGUUCUCUCAGAUCACUCAUUAUCUUUUAUAUAUAUCUCACUGAGGCUGUUUUAAUUUUGCAAAAAUUCUCAAGCAUACUUACUUUGCAUUUAUUGCCUGAUCAAAACGGGAUCCGAGGAGGGGAAUGUCAUACUCUUAGAUCAAAGACUUUGGAAAUUAAAAUCUUUGUCAACUCUUGCUGGCAUAUUGCUUAUUAGAGGGACCAUGCGCUAUCAUUUUCUCUUUUUCUUCUCUUUUUUUUAAGUGGAUACCAAAGUGCCCCUAAUUCUACUGCCGGACACUUGUCCAUUUUUUUUCUGCGAGGUUGUCGAGCACUUGCUCCUUUUUAUUUCCUCGAAAUAUCUCUAUUUUUGCAUAACCCAUGCCUCUAAUGCAAUAAUACUUCGGAAGAGUGAAUCUUUCUGAAAUAAUGUCUUGAUCUUAGGAGCAUGAUAAACCUCUCAACAAGGGUCUAACUCAUUUUGGACAAACUCAAUACAGAGUAGAUAGCUUUUAUAAUCAUAAUUAAUAUUUUUAGUUUUAUCAGGCAUAUAAAACACUGAGGAUGGUAGCUAGAGUUUUGAAUAUUUUGAAAUGAAUUCUCCAAGCAACAAUGAUAUCAAGAAUAAGAAACUCAUACUCUACCAUCACAUAUUCCACAAUGACUUAAGUAACACAGGGUUUUAAAAUGAUUUUAUAAUAAUUGCAAGUUUUCAGGAAAUAUCACAGAUUGAGAUUAAUCAUGAUUAGAAAUAUUUUAAUCUUUUUAAUUUAUCAUGUCGGAAACAGUAAUCUGCAUAAUCCAAAAUAGUUGUAUGUGUAGAGUAAAGUGUGCAAAGUGUGUACCUGAAUUGUGGAGUGGUGUGGUCGGAGUGUGUUUAGCAUGUCGAGGGAUCUCCCCCAUACUUGUUUUCUGCUUUCUUGUAAAAAUAAAGUAGAGACACACAAGGCAUAAUAAUAAUAAUAAUAAUAAUAAUAAUAAUAAUAAUAAUAAUAAUAAUGAUAAUAAUAAUAAUAAUAAUAAUAAUAAUAAUAAUAAUAAUAAUAAUACUCUUUAUUAAUCUUGAGGCAUUUAUUACAAAAGACUAGUAGCAAACUGAUGAUAAUAGUAAACUGAUGAUAAUAGCAAACCUAAACCGAAUUUAAAGAUAAAUGACUAAGAUGUAUUGCCUCAAGGUCUAAUUUAGAUAACUUAGCGGCGCUCUAAUUCCUUGAUCUUCUUGUUGGCAUUGGCAAGAUCCUGCCUAAGGCCUAGUAUAAUGGUUUUGUCGUUAGAGAGCUGCCUAGUGAGGGAAUUAAUCGAGGACUGGAGGUCUAUGAUAAUUCUGUCUAGUCUGCGAACGUCCUCAUCAAUAUCCAUUAUAGUCUUGCGACGCUUGGGAGGUGUCUCAAAAGCAUUGAGAGCGUGCUUCGGGGCUG
This 2318-nucleotide long non-coding RNA is filed under the name Sorghum bicolor (sorghum). RNAcentral describes it as "long non-coding RNA (SBIC_LNC015991)". Lineage: Eukaryota; Viridiplantae; Streptophyta; Magnoliopsida; Poales; Poaceae. The record is from RNAcentral.